AGAGAGCAGGUAUAUCAGUAGAGGUGGGUGACAGAGCAGGUAUAUCAGUAGAGAGACAGAGAGCAGGUAUAUCAGUAGAGAGAGAGAGAGCAGGUAUAUCAGUAGAGAUGGGUGACAGAGAGCAGGUAUAUCAGUAGAGAUGGGUGACAGAGCAGGUAUAUCAGUAGAGAGACAGAGAGCAGGUAUAUCAGUGGAGAUGGGUGACAGAGAGCAGGUAUAUCAGUAGAGUGACAGAGAGCAGGUAUAUCAGUAGAGAGAGAGAGAGCAGGUAUAUCAGUAGAGAGAGAGAGAGCAGGUAUAUCAGUAGAGAUGGGUGACAGAGAGCAGGUAUAUCAGUAGAGAGACAGAGAGCAGGUAUAUCAGUAGAGAUGGGUGACAGAGAGCAGGUAUAUCAGUAGAGUGACAGAGAGCAGGUAUAUCAGUGGAGAGACAGAGAGCAGAUAUAUCAGUAGAGAUGGGUGACAGAGAGCAGGUAUAUCAGUAGAGAGACAGAGAGCAGGUAUAUCAGUAGAGUGACAGAGAGCAGGUAUAUCAGUAGAGAUGGGUGACAG
Oncorhynchus masou masou (cherry salmon) is the source of this 551-nucleotide long non-coding RNA. RefSeq lists it as uncharacterized. NCBI's taxonomy places the organism in Eukaryota, Metazoa, Chordata, Actinopteri, Salmoniformes, Salmonidae. The record is from RefSeq and is a predicted model, not a curated record. The transcript has 3 exons.